GAUGAACGCUGGCGGCGUGCCUAAUACAUGCAAGUCGAGCGAACAGACGAGGAGCUUGCUCCUCUGACGUUAGCGGCGGACGGGUGAGUAACACGUGGAUAACCUACCUAUAAGACUGGGAUAACUUCGGGAAACCGGAGCUAAUACCGGAUAAUAUAUUGAACCGCAUGGUUCAAUAGUGAAAGACGGUUUUGCUGUCACUUAUAGAUGGAUCCGCGCCGCAUUAGCUAGUUGGUAAGGUAACGGCUUACCAAGGCAACGAUGCGUAGCCGACCUGAGAGGGGGAUCGGCCACACUGGAAACGAGACAAGGGCCAGAAUCCUAAGGGAGGGAGGAGUAGGGAAUCUUCCGCAAAGGGGGAAAGGCUGAAGGAGCAAAGGCGCGGGAGGGAAGAAGGUUUUCGGAUUGGAAAACUCUGUUAUUAGGGAAGAACAAAUGUGUAAGUAACUAUGCACGUCUUGACGGUACCUAAUCAGAAAGCCACGGCUAACUACGUG
RNAcentral lists this ribosomal RNA (497 nucleotides) under uncultured bacterium. Its description in RNAcentral is "partial 16S ribosomal RNA". It matches the Rfam family "Bacterial small subunit ribosomal RNA", at positions 28 to 507 of the family's 1533-position model. The record is from RNAcentral.